This 465-nucleotide ribosomal RNA is filed under the name Vreelandella stevensii. RNAcentral's name for it is "partial 16S ribosomal RNA". It matches the Rfam family "Bacterial small subunit ribosomal RNA", at positions 338 to 795 of the family's 1533-position model. The record is from RNAcentral. Lineage: Bacteria; Pseudomonadati; Pseudomonadota; Gammaproteobacteria; Oceanospirillales; Halomonadaceae.
CCUACGGGUGGCAGCAGUGGGGAAUAUUGGACAAUGGGCGAAAGCCUGAUCCAGCCGUGCCGCGUGUGUGAAGAAGGCCUUCGGGUUGUAAAGCACUUUCAGUGGGGAAGAAAGCCUUGGGGCUAAUACCCUCGAGGAAGGACAUCACCCACAGAAGAAGCACCGGCUAACUCCGUGCCAGCAGCCGCGGUAAUACGGAGGGUGCGAGCGUUAAUCGGAAUUACUGGGCGUAAAGCGCGCGUAGGCGGUCUGAUAAGCCGGUUGUGAAAGCCCCGGGCUCAACCUGGGAACGGCAUCCGGAACUGUCAGGCUAGAGUGCAGGAGAGGAAGGUAGAAUUCCCGGUGUAGCGGUGAAAUGCGUAGAGAUCGGGAGGAAUACCAGUGGCGAAGGCGGCCUUCUGGACUGACACUGACGCUGAGGUGCGAAAGCGUGGGUAGCAAACAGGAUUAGAUACCCUUGUAGUC